RNAcentral lists this ribosomal RNA (450 nucleotides) under uncultured bacterium. RNAcentral describes it as "partial 16S ribosomal RNA". It matches the Rfam family "Bacterial small subunit ribosomal RNA", at positions 338 to 795 of the family's 1533-position model. The record is from RNAcentral.
CCUACGGGGGGCAGCAGUGGGGAAUAUUGGACAAUGGGCGCAAGCCUGAUCCAGCAAUGCCGCGUGUGUGAAGAAGGCCUGCGGGUUGUAAAGCACUUUCAGUGGGGAGGAAGGCCUCGAUAUUAAUACUAUUGAGGAUUGACGUUACCCACAGAAGAAGCACCGGCUAACUCUGUGCCAGCAGCCGCGGUAAUACAGAGGGUGCAAGCGUUAAUCGGAGUUAGUGGGGGUAGUGGGUGCGGUCGUGGUUGAGAGCCCCGGGCUCAACCGGGGAAUUGCAUUUGAUACUGAGUAACUUGAGUAUGGUAGAGGGAAGUGGAAUUUCCAGUGUAGCGGUGAAAUGCGUAGAUAUUGGAAGGAACAUCAGUGGCGAAGGCGACUUCCUGGACCAUUACUGACACUGAGGCACGAAAGCGUGGGGAGCGAACAGGAUUAGAUACCCUAGUAGUC